RNAcentral lists this ribosomal RNA (293 nucleotides) under Calyptommatus confusionibus. Its description in RNAcentral is "partial 12S ribosomal RNA". It matches the Rfam family "Bacterial small subunit ribosomal RNA", at positions 884 to 1344 of the family's 1533-position model. The record is from RNAcentral. Lineage: Eukaryota; Metazoa; Chordata; Lepidosauria; Squamata; Gymnophthalmidae.
GAGCGAAAGCCUAAAACUCAAAAGACUUGACGGUGUCCUAAUCUACCUAGAGGAGCCUGUUCCAUAAUCGAUAACCCACGAUAAACCCGACCACCCUUUGAAAUUUCAGCCUAUAUACCGCCGUCGACAGCCCACCUUAUGAAAGAACAAGAGUAGGCCAAAUAGGACUAGCCCCUAAAAAGUCAGGUCAAGGUGUAGCUAAUAAGGUGGAGACAAUGGGCUACAUUUUCUAUAAUAGAACACACGAACUAGUUUUUUAAACAAAACUACGAAGGCGGAUUUAGCAGUAAGCU